This 1341-nucleotide ribosomal RNA is filed under the name uncultured bacterium. Its description in RNAcentral is "bacterial SSU rRNA". It matches the Rfam family "Bacterial small subunit ribosomal RNA", at positions 28 to 1381 of the family's 1533-position model. The record is from RNAcentral.
GAUGAACGCUGGUUGCGUGCUUAACACAUGCAAGUCGAACGGAAAGGCCCCUGCUUGCAGGGGUGCUCGAGUGGCAAACGGGUGAGUAACACGUGGGUGAUCUGCCCUGCACUUUGGGAUAAGCCUGGGAAACUGGGUCUAAUACCGGAUAGGACCAUCUUUUAGUGUCUGUGGUGGAAAGUUUUUUCGGUGUGGGAUGAGCUCGCGGCCUAUCAACUUGUUGGUGGGGUAAUGGCCUACCAAGGCGUCCACAGGUAUCCGGCCUGAGAAGGUGUACGGCCACAUUGGGACUGAUAUACCGCCCAUACUCCUACGGGAGGCAACAAUGGGGAAUAUUGCACAAUGGGCGCAAGCCUGAUGAAACGACGCCGCGUGGGGGAUGACGGCCUUCGGGUUGUAAACUCCUUUCUCCAAGGACGAAGCGUUAUGUGACGGUACUUGGAGAAUAAGCACCGGCUAACUACGUGCCAUCAGCCGCGAUAAUACGUAGGGUGCUAGCGUUGUCCGGAAUUACUGGGCGUAAAGAGCUCGUAGGUGGUAUGUCACGUCAUUUGUGGAAUACCGCAGCUUAUCUGUGGGGUUGCAAGCGAUACGGGCAUAACUUGAGUGCUGUAGGGGAGACUGGAAUUCCUGGGGNAGCGGUGGAAUGCGCAGAUAUCAGGAGGAACACCGAUGGCGAAGGCAGGUCUCUGGGCAGUAACUGACGCUGAGGAGCGAAAGCAUGGGUAGCGAACAGGAUUAGAUACCCUGGUAGUCCAUGCCGUAAACGGUGGGCGCUAGGUGUGAGUCCCUUCCACGGGGUUCGUGCCGUAGCUAACGCAUUAAGCGCCCCGCCUGGGGAGUACGGCCGCAAGGCUAAAACUCAAAGGAAUUGACGGGGGCCCGCACAAGCGGCGGAGCAUGUGGAUUAAUUCGAUGCAACGCGAAGAACCUUACCUGGGCUUGACAUACACCAGAUGGCUGUAGAGAUACAGUGUCCCUUGUGGUUGGUGUACAGGUGGUGCAUGGUUGUCGUCAGCUCGUGUCGUGAGAUGUUGGGUUAAGUCCCGCAACGAGCGCAACCCUUGUCUUAUGUUGCCAGCGGUUCGGCCGGGGACUCAUGAGAGACUGCCGGGGUUAACUCGGGGGAAGGUGGGGAUGACGUCAAAUCAUCAUGCCCCUUAUGUCCAGGGCUUCACACAUGCUACAAUGGUCGGUACAACGCGUGACGACACCGUGAGGUGAAGUGGAUCGCUGAAAGCCGGUCGUAGUUCGGAUUGGGGUCUGCAACUCGACCCCAUGAAGUCGGAGUCGCUAGUAAUCGCAGAUCAGCAACGCUGCGGUGAAUACGUUCCCGGGCCU